CUUGGCCGAGUGGUUAAGGCGAGAGACUAGAAAUCUCUUGGGUUCGCCCGCGCAGGUUCGAAUCCUGCAG
Molecule: transfer RNA, 70 nt
Filed under: uncultured Strombidinopsis
Lineage: Eukaryota; Ciliophora; Spirotrichea; Choreotrichida
Rfam family: tRNA
About the family: Transfer RNA (tRNA) molecules are approximately 80 nucleotides in length. Their secondary structure includes four short double-helical elements and three loops (D, anti-codon, and T loops).
Source: RNAcentral